GGCCGGGUACGCAAAUCGGUAAAGCGGCCACCUUGAGAGGGUGGUGACUGUUUGUGGGUUCGAUUCCCACCUCGGCUA
Molecule: transfer RNA, 78 nt
Filed under: Planctomycetaceae bacterium SCGC AG-212-F19
Lineage: Bacteria; Pseudomonadati; Planctomycetota; Planctomycetia; Planctomycetales; Planctomycetaceae
Rfam family: tRNA
About the family: Transfer RNA (tRNA) molecules are approximately 80 nucleotides in length. Their secondary structure includes four short double-helical elements and three loops (D, anti-codon, and T loops). Further hydrogen bonds mediate the characteristic L-shaped molecular structure. tRNAs have two regions of fundamental functional importance: the anti-codon, which is responsible for specific mRNA codon recognition, and the 3' end, to which the tRNAs corresponding amino acid is attached (by aminoacyl-tRNA synthetases). tRNAs cope with the degeneracy of the genetic code in two manners: having more than one tRNA (with a specific anti-codon) for a particular amino acid; and 'wobble' base-pairing, i.e. permitting non-standard base-pairing at the 3rd anti-codon position.
Source: Rfam by way of RNAcentral